This 267-nucleotide ribosomal RNA is filed under the name uncultured bacterium. RNAcentral describes it as "partial 16S ribosomal RNA". It matches the Rfam family "Bacterial small subunit ribosomal RNA", at positions 524 to 790 of the family's 1533-position model. The record is from RNAcentral.
UACGUAGGUCACAAGCGUUGUCCGGAUUUAUUGGGCGUAAAGGGAGCGCAGGCGGUUUGUUAAGUCUGAUGUGAAAGCCCACGGCUCAACCGUGGAACGGCAUUGGAAACUGGCAAACUUGAGUAUAGAAGAGGAAAGUGGGAUUCCAUGUGUAGCGGUGAAAUGCGUAGAUAUAUGGAGGAACACCAGUGGCGAAGGCGACUUUCUGGUCAUUAACUGACGCUGAGGCUCGAAAGCGUGGGGAGCGAACAGGAUUAGAUACCCGAG